UACGUAGGGUGCAAGCGUUAAUCGGAAUUACUGGGCGUAAAGCGUGCGCAGGCGGUGAUGUAAGACAGGUGUGAAAUCCCCGGGCUUAACCUGGGAACUGCAUUUGUGACUGCAUCGCUGGAGUGCGGCAGAGGGGGAUGGAGUUCCGCGUGUAGCAGUGAAAUGCGUAGAUAUGCGGAGGAACACCGAUGGCGAAGGCAAUCCCCUGGGCCUGCACUGACGCUCAUGCACGAAAGCGUGGGGAGCAAACAGG
This 253-nucleotide ribosomal RNA is filed under the name uncultured bacterium. Its description in RNAcentral is "partial 16S ribosomal RNA". It matches the Rfam family "Bacterial small subunit ribosomal RNA", at positions 524 to 776 of the family's 1533-position model. The record is from RNAcentral.